AGGGUUUGAUCUAGCUCAGAUUGAACGCUGGCGGGAUGCUUUACAUGCAAGUCGAACGGCAACCACAGACUUCGGUCUGGUGGCGGUGGCAGGCGGGUGAGUAAUGUAUCGGAACGUGCCUAGUAGCGGGGGAUAACUACGCGGCAGCAGCUGGCUACCGCAUACGCCCUUCGAAGAGAAAAGCAGGGGACCUUCGGGCCUCGCACUAUUAGAGCGGCCGAUAUCGGAUUAGCUAGUUGGUGGGGUAACGGCUCACCAAGGCGACGAUCCGUAGCUGGUUUGAGAGGACGACCAGCCACACUGGGACUGGGGCACGGCCCAGACUCCUACAGGAGAACGACAGUGGAAUUUUGGACAAUGGAAGCUGAUCAGCCAUCCCGCGUGUGCGUGGAAGGCCUUCGGGUUGUAAGCACUUUUUGGCAGGAAAGAAACGGCACGGGAUAAUAGCCCGUGCAACUGCGGCAAUACCUGCAGAAUAGGCACCGGCUAACUACGUGCCAGCAGCCACGCGGGCAUCACGUAGGGUGCAAUAAUUAAUCGGAAUUACUGGGCGUAAAGCGUGCGCAGGCGGUUCGGAAGAAAGAUGUGAAAUCCCAGAGCUUAACUUUGGAACUGCAUUUUUAACUACCGAGCUAGAGUGUGUGUCAGAGGUGGAAUUCCGCGUGUAGCAGUGAAAUGCGUAGAUAUGCGGAGGAACACCGAUGGCGAAGGCAACCUCCUGGGAUAACACUAGGCGCUCAUGCACGAAAGCGUGGGGAGCAAACGGGAUUAGAUACCCUGGUGAGUCCGCCUAAACGAUGUCAACUAGCUGUUGGGGCCUUCGGAGCCUUGGUAGCCGCAAUAACAACGUGAAGUUGACCAUGGGAGUACGGUCGCAAGAUUAAAACUCAAAGAGUUGACGGGGACCCGCACAAGCGGUGGAUGAUGUGGAUUAAUUCGAUGCAACGCGAAAAACCUUACCUACCCUUGACAUGUCUGGAAUCCCGAAAAGAGAUUUGGAGUGCUCGCAAAGAGAACCGGAACACAGGUGCUGCAUGGCUGUCGUCAGCUCGUGUCGUGAGAUGUUGGGUUAAGUCCCGCAACGAGCGCAACCCCUUGUCAUUAGUUGCUACGAAAGGGGCACUCUAAUGAGACUGCCGGUGACAAACCGGAGGAAGGUGGGGAUGACGUCAAGUCCUCAUGGCCCUUAUGGGUAGGGCUUCACACGUCAUACAAUGGUCAAGGACAGAGUUAAGCAACCGCGAGAGCCAAUCCCAGAAACCCGAUCGUAGUCGGGUCGCAGUCUGCAACUCAGCUGCGUGAAGUCGGAAUCAUGUGUCCUUGGCGGAUCAUGUCGCGGUGAAUACGUUCCCGGGUCUUCAGCACACCGCCGUCGCACAUGGAGAUUGGGUUUUACCAGAAGUAGUUAGCCUAACCGUAAGGGCGAUUACCACGGUAGGAUUCAUGACUGGGGUGAAGUCGUAACAAGGUAG
This 1472-nucleotide ribosomal RNA is filed under the name uncultured Bordetella sp. RNAcentral describes it as "partial 16S-23S ribosomal RNA intergenic spacer". It matches the Rfam family "Bacterial small subunit ribosomal RNA". The record is from RNAcentral. Lineage: Bacteria; Pseudomonadati; Pseudomonadota; Betaproteobacteria; Burkholderiales; Alcaligenaceae.